RNAcentral lists this ribosomal RNA (1016 nucleotides) under Candidatus Symbiopectobacterium sp. Chty_BC. Its description in RNAcentral is "bacterial SSU rRNA". It matches the Rfam family "Bacterial small subunit ribosomal RNA", at positions 520 to 1533 of the family's 1533-position model. The record is from RNAcentral. Lineage: Bacteria; Pseudomonadati; Pseudomonadota; Gammaproteobacteria; Enterobacterales; Enterobacteriaceae.
GUAAUACGGAGGGUGCAAGCGUUAAUCGGAAUGACUGGGCGUAAAGCGCACGCAGGCGGUUUGUUAAGUUGGAUGUGAAAUCCCCGGGCUUAACCUGGGAACUGCAUUCAGAACUGGCAAGCUAGAGUCUCGUAGAAGGGGGGGGGAAUUCCAGGUGUAGCGGUGAAACGCGUAGAGAUCUGGAGGAAUACCGAUGGCGAAGGCGGCCCCUUAGACGAAGACUGACGCUCAGGUACGAAAGCGUGGGGAGCAAACAGGAUUAGAUACCCUGGUAGUCUACGCUGUAAACGAUGUCGAUUUGGAGGUUGUGCCCUUGAGGCGUGGCUUCCGGAGCUAACGCGUUAAAUCGACCGCCUAGGGAGUACGGUCGCAAGGUUAAAACUCAAAUGAAUUGACGGGGCCCGCACAAGCGGUGGAGCAUGUGGUUUAAUUCGAUGCAACGCGAAGAACCUUACCUACUCUUGACAUCCAGAGAACUUUGUAGAGAUACGAAAGUGCCUUCGGGAGCUCUGAGACAGGUGCUGCAUGGCUGUCGUCAGCUCGUGUUGUGAAAUGUUGGGUUAAGUCCCGCAACGAGCGCAACCCUUAUCCUUUGUUGCCAGCGAUUCGGUCGGGAACUCAAAGGAGACUGCCAGUGAUAAACUGGAGGAAGGUGGGGAUGACGUCAAGUCAUCAUGGCCCUUACGAGUAGGGCUACACACGUGCUACAAUGGCGUAUACAAAGAGAAGCGACCUCGCAAGAGCAAGCGGACCUCAUAAAGUACGUCGUAGUUCGGAUUGGAGUCUGCAAUUCGACUCCAUGAAGUCGGAAUCGCUAGUAAUCGUAGAUCAGAAUGCUACGGUGAAUACGUUCCCGGGCCUUGUACACACCGCCCGUCACACCAUGGGAGUGGGUUGCAAAAGAAGUAGGUAGCUUAACCUUCGGGAGGGCGCUUACCACUUUGUGACUCAUGACUGGGGUGAAGUCGUAACAAGGUAACCGUAGGGGAACCUGCGGUUGGAUCACCUCCUUAACU